CAACUUUCAACAACGGAUCUCUUGGCUCUCGCAUCGAUGAAGAACGCAGCGAAAUGCGAUAAGUAAUGUGAAUUGCAGAAUUCAGUGAAUCAUCGAAUCUUUGAACGCACCUUGCGCCCCUUGGUAUUCCGAGGGGCACACCUGUUUGAGUGUC
RNAcentral lists this ribosomal RNA (154 nucleotides) under Amylostereum areolatum. RNAcentral's name for it is "5.8S ribosomal RNA". It matches the Rfam family "5.8S ribosomal RNA". Rfam says of the family: 5.8S ribosomal RNA (5.8S rRNA) is a component of the large subunit of the eukaryotic ribosome. It is transcribed by RNA polymerase I as part of the 45S precursor that also contains 18S and 28S rRNA. RNAcentral also lists the same sequence under 2 other names. The record is from RNAcentral. Lineage: Eukaryota; Fungi; Basidiomycota; Agaricomycetes; Russulales; Stereaceae.